UACGUAGGGGGCAAGCGUUGUCCGGAUUUAUUGGGCGUAAAGAGCGUGUAGGCGGCCACACAGGUCAGCUGUGAAAACUCGAGGCUCAACCUCGAGCUGUCGGUGGAAACCGUAAAGCUAGAGUCCGGAAGAGGAGAGUGGAAUUCCCGGUGUAGCGGUGAAAUGCGCAGAUAUCGGGAGGAACACCCGUGGCGAAGGCGGCUCUCUGGGACGGUACUGACGCUGAGACGCGAAAGCGUGGGGAGCGAACAGG
This 253-nucleotide ribosomal RNA is filed under the name uncultured bacterium. Its description in RNAcentral is "partial 16S ribosomal RNA". It matches the Rfam family "Bacterial small subunit ribosomal RNA", at positions 524 to 776 of the family's 1533-position model. The record is from RNAcentral.